Molecule: small nuclear RNA, 109 nt
Organism: Meriones unguiculatus (Mongolian gerbil)
Lineage: Eukaryota; Metazoa; Chordata; Mammalia; Rodentia; Muridae
Source: Ensembl
AUGCUCGCUUUGGCAGCAUACAUACUAAAAAUUGGAGCAACACAGAGAAGAUCAGCAUGGCCCCUGUACAAGGAUAAUGGCUCAAGUUUGUGAAGCAUGCGGCUGCCUU